GCCGAAUUGGUGGAAUGGCAGACACGACAGACUCAAAAUCUGUUGAUAGUAUUAUCGUGUGGGUUCGAGUCCCACAUUCGGCACCA
This 86-nucleotide transfer RNA is filed under the name Romboutsia hominis. Its description in RNAcentral is "tRNA-Leu". It matches the Rfam family "tRNA". Rfam says of the family: Transfer RNA (tRNA) molecules are approximately 80 nucleotides in length. Their secondary structure includes four short double-helical elements and three loops (D, anti-codon, and T loops). RNAcentral also lists the same sequence under 1 other name. The record is from RNAcentral. Lineage: Bacteria; Bacillati; Bacillota; Clostridia; Peptostreptococcales; Peptostreptococcaceae.